RNAcentral lists this ribosomal RNA (465 nucleotides) under uncultured bacterium. RNAcentral's name for it is "partial 16S ribosomal RNA". It matches the Rfam family "Bacterial small subunit ribosomal RNA", at positions 28 to 507 of the family's 1533-position model. The record is from RNAcentral.
GACGAGCGCUGGCGGCGUGCUUAACACAUGCAAGUCGAACGGAAAGGCCCUGCUUGCAGGGUACUCGAGUGGCGAACGGGUGAGUAACACGGGGGUGAUCUGCCCUGCACUUCGGGAUAAGCCUGGGAAACUGGGUCUAAUACCGGAUAGGAGCCAUUUUUAGUGUGAUGGUUGGAAAGUUUUUUCGGUGUAGGAUGAGCUCGCGGCCUAUCAGCUUGUUGGUGGGGUAAUGGCCUACCAAGGCGGCGACGGGUAGCCGGCCUGAGAGGGUGGACGGCCACAUUGGGACUGAGAUACGGCCCAGACUCCUACGGGAGGCAGCAGUGGGGAAUAUUGCACAAUGGGCGCAAGCCUGAUGCAGCGACGCCGCGUGGGGGAUGACGGCCUUCGGGUUGUAAACUCCUUACGCUAGGGACGAAGCUUUUUGUGACGGUACCUAGAGAAGAAGCACCGGCUAACUACGUG